Molecule: RNA transcript, 4512 nt
Organism: Rhipicephalus sanguineus (brown dog tick)
Lineage: Eukaryota; Metazoa; Arthropoda; Arachnida; Ixodida; Ixodidae
Gene name: pleckstrin homology domain-containing family J member 1
Exons: 7
Source: RefSeq, a predicted model, not a curated record
CAAGUCAAACAUGGCGAUUUGCAGCAGUUAGCGGAGCGAGCUUUGCGAGCCAACUUCGCAGUGCGUCAUGUAACAGCAUCUUUUCCCGCCCCGUAAUAAGUGGAGUUGUUGUUGACCAUUCAGUGCUGUCCGUGGAAGUUUGAGUGACCAUGCGAUUCAAUGAGAAGGAGAUGGCAACGCUCGCCGCUGGCGCUGCCGACAAGGAGGGCCGUCUGAACCACCGAAACCUGUCCUUCAGAGAAGUGUUCAAAGAACGGUGGUUCAAGUUGAAAGGAAACUUGCUGUUCUACUUUCGCUUGAAUGAACAUGGGGGUGUGUUUGAAAAAGAGCCCGUGGGCCUAUUUGUCAUCGAAUGCUGCAAGGUUCAGCAUGAACCAAACGUCGACUAUGCAUUUGCGUUUUCUAUAGCAUUCGUAGAUGAUGCGGACCGAAGGCAUCUGUUCACGUGCACGACGCAGAAGCACUGCGAUGAGUGGGUGAGCUGCCUACAGCAGGCUGGCUACGAAUACCAAAGGGGUCGCCUGCUCUACAUGCAGCAGAAGAUAUUGGAACUCACAGGACGGGACCCUUUGGCAGACUUCAUCAGUCGGCGGAAUGGCAAUGCUCCGGGGAGUGUACAGGCCAUUCAGAAGGCACCUGAAAGCAACAGCAGUGCUGCGGGCAAGUUCUUUGCAUUCCUUAGGACAUGGUAGCAUGUCCAGACGAUGCUUUUGCAUGCUGCAGCUAUGCUUGGGGUCAGUGUGUUGGCGUUGCUUUGCUUGCUCAGUUGCAGUUUCCUUCCUGCUUCGCCAUUUGACGAAGAGCUGCCUUGGAAUGUGUGCUUGCUGCUUUUGCGUCUGUCUUGGCUUUUUGCUGCAAUAAAUGAUGUGAAAAAGAGGACCACGAUAUGGCACUGAUAUGUGCCACCAGGUCACACUUCACCGUGGUCUCACAUUGCCAUCACCAUCAUUCCCAGCAUUGCCCAAGUCACACACUAUGCGAAGCAUCUCUGGUUCUGCUUCCACUAAUCAUCAUGACUUUUCUUGGGUGAAGUCGAGCCCCGUUUUUGACUUCUAGUGUUAAAUGCUGCAUUAUAUAUGUGCGUGUGUUAACGUCCCACCACUUGUGCCUACAAGUCACUCGUCUGGACCUUAUUAGGCUGCAACGUGAUCUUCAGAGUUCACUUGGUAACCCUGUUAAUUGUUUCUAAGAUACCAGAUAGCAUUGAAUAUUUCCUGGUGCUUCAUUUUAACACUGCUUGGUUCUUUUUGUUGUCUAAUAACGGUACAGAUUUCGUGGAACAAAUAGUUGACACAGUGAGCGGAGCACCUAGGGACCUCUACCUUAUGCACAAAGUGAUGACACAGUUUGCCAAAGACGUAUUCAGUAGUUUUCUGUUUUUCUUUCAUUAGUUGAGUACAGUUAUACAGGUCAAGUAGUGUAGCCAUUUGCGGAGCACAACAUCGUGUUUGUUGAAUACUGAAAAACAUCUCAACUUGACACCUUUAUUUCGGUCAUCAAAAUCAGUUCAUUUUCUUAGUUAAGAUAGGAAUUUAUGCUUUAUCUCUUAUCUGUGAUGCACAGCUGCUUACUACACAAGAAAAAGUAGGAAUAGAAGCAUUUAUCACUUUUUGCUACUCUGACAGAGUGAAAAAGUGUUUUUGGUAGACGGCUGGCAGCACAGAUAAUGUCGGUUAUGGCAUAAAAAGAAUAAAAUGACAAUCCCAGUGGUUCAGUGGGCCUCCCUUAUUGUCGUAGCCUCUCUGGUCAUUAACCUAGGCUUCUGAAUAUGAGGUUCUGCCUUUUUUUUUUGGUUUCGCGGAAGACCUAGUUUACAUAGGAAAGGAGCCACUUUAGUAUUAGUUGAUGCUUUUAAUGCCCUCCUUUGCUAAGCAGAGCUACAUUGAUCGUAAAUUUGGUGAGAGCACCACAACUGUUGGUAUACGAGACGAUAUCGUCAUCACCGAUCCCGAGUCGUUGCCGCAUUCAAUGCUGUUGUUAGACAAAUGAAGACAGAAGUGAAGCUAGGGGUGUGUGAAUAGUGAUUUCUGGGGCCAUAUCGAAUACUUUUUUAUAGUUCUCGAAUACCGAAUAGCCAUUUAUAUAAAUAAUAUAAAAUUAUCACAUCCUGGUGUUCAUAACUUUAUCAUUAAUUUUAGCAUCGGGAACAAAUACGCAUGCACAGAUUUCUUCAGAGUGUGUGUGAUGAUCGUGUAUUUGGCAAAGUCUAGCUGCAGGAAUGAGAUAUGCGGGGAUAAAAGUUAUCACACUUCUGCGUCUGUUUAGUGCUUAUUUCAGUGCAGUUCACAUUUUUAAAUGUCCUUAAACUAUUUUAAAAAUAUUUGCUUACAUAUAGCUCUUGUUUGAUUAAAAAAUUUUGAAAUUCACGCACCUCUAGUCAAGAUUGAAAAGGCUGUGUAUGUGUGAUCGUAGUGAAGCCGUUAUGAGGCACUAAUGGCGCAAAAGUGGUUUAUGCAAGGGACAUAAUGAGGUAAAUGAUGUGAAUUGAAGGAAUUGAAAUAUUCAAACCACAAUAGAAAAUGUUGACCAGUUGCACUUUAAGUGUAAACCGGAAGUGAGUCAACCAUGGCCCUAUAGUCAACCAGAGGUGAUUAAGUCCGGGAGUGGGAACCAGAAGUGCAAUUAAGACUAGAAUUUGGUGCACGGAAGUCUUUUAACUGCAGUUGGAUAAGACCGGCAAGUCACGUGCAGGAAGAGAGAGGCAACGCCAAUGGGGAGGGGGUAGUUCAAAGUGAUGCCACAAAAGUCUGCAAAGAACUGCGGAGUGAUCCGCGAAGAUAAAAAGGGUGCGAUGUGACGGUCACGCAUUUCUCUCGCAUUUACCACUGAAUCGCCACCUAAAGUUUUUCCCCAUGUACUCUAAAACUUCCUUGUGAUGUUCACCAUUCCUGUAGCCAACCGCUGAGCUACAAGCUUGCACUGUAGCAAAAAGCACAAUGCAUACAUUAGCUUUGUUUGUUUUUCACUGAGUUAUUGCACUGCAGUUCAGAACCGCUUCGUAGCUACUAUUAACAAGCUAUGUCCCUUAGACGGGUAAACUCGCACUGUGCUUGACUUUUUUACUUUUUCAUUUGGCAAGUUUGUAGUUUAGUUCAUCCCCAUACUAUACAAUGCAUAGUUUCAUUUGAAUGACUCUGUAACCCAACUCAUAGUCACGGUUGCAUCAUUUCUUCCUGUCUUGUGGUACAAGACACAUAAGGAAAAUUGCUUCAUGCCCAGAAGCUGCUUUAAUAGGACACUAGGAGAAAUCUCAAUUAAGAUGAGACUGAGCUUUCUCAGAACCUUAUUUGCAGUCAGCCUUGAUGGCUUAGCCAAUAAAGCUAAGUUUGAAGACGCACAUUCUUUCUCAGUCACAGCGGGCACAUUUCAGUGGGGGAGAAACUCUGGAACUCUCGUGCACAUACGUUUAGGUCCACAUAAAAGACCUCGGUCAUUUAAAAUUAACCUGAAAUCCUCCACCACGGCAUGCGUUGUAAUCCUGUGGUAUUUUUGGCCCUGUAAACCCCAGAAUGUAAUUUUAAAAUUUUAACCUUAUUUGCAUUUCUCGUAAAAAAGUUCGAAUGUCAGGAAAGAGGUUAUGCCCUUUAAUACUGAGCCAAAACCAUGGCGGGGAUGUUAUAUGUGGGCUUUGCGUAGGAAAACGUUAAGACGUUGCCCACUAAAGUAGCUGCUUGUUUUUUUAAGGCAUCGUAUAACCUUUGUUUGUUCGCAAGUAACCAGUCUUGAGCAUGCCUUGUCAAGGUCCACAAACAUCCCAUAGAUUUGGUGGUGCUGUGAACUGGCUUGUUUUCUAGCUUCUUUUUCUGGCUUGCAAUUGGUCAUGUUAUAGCCACACGGGACUUGUUCCACACGCAUAAGCGUGACAUAACAUUAAACUUGCCAUUUCUCCAUAGCGGCCCUUUAAGGUACAUACAGAACAGACUGAUGGUUGAAAUCUAGCGUGACCUCAUAUCAGAAGUGGCUUGGUCUCCGUGGUGCCCUUUUGAAUGCACUGUCACUACAUUCCACUAGGAAUGGCACUUUGAGUACCUGUAUUGUGGAAACGAGGCCGGCAUUUCACAGUUUUGCUGCCAAGAAUCACUCUCUUCACGCCAUUGCUGUGUGAAUGUGUAUUUUGUGCCUUUGUUGCCACGUGCCUCGUAGAAGCACUUGUGAUGAUUGCUAGUUGCAGAAUGUUCCAAAUGUAGCAGUCCCCAGUACCACCGUCAUUUGCUGAAGCGCUGUACGUAUAUAGUAUAUUCCGAGGUGAAAGGCGCAUAGACGACACACAUAAGAGAGAUGCACAUACAAGGCACUGAUGAAACACUUCACAGAAUGCCCUGUGUGCUAGGAAUAUAAGACUUUCGGUAUUAAAAUGGGCGCGUUGGUUUGGCAUAUUCACAGACGCAAGGCACAUAGACAACACACACGAGAGAGACACACUCACAAGCCGCCUACGUCUUCCUCGGAAUAUGCUAAACCAACACACCCCAUUUUUCCAUCUUGACAUUGUAUUGUUUGCUACGUAGUGAA